RNAcentral lists this unclassified non-coding RNA (521 nucleotides) under uncultured Russula. RNAcentral's name for it is "sequence contains ITS1, 5.8S rRNA gene and ITS2". The stretch from base 57 to 210 matches the Rfam family "5.8S ribosomal RNA". The record is from RNAcentral. Lineage: Eukaryota; Fungi; Basidiomycota; Agaricomycetes; Russulales; Russulaceae.
CACAUAAAACUCGAUACAGUGUAGAAUGUUCUUUUGCGAUCACACGCAAUCAAUACAACUUUCAACAACGGAUCUCUUGGCUCUCGCAUCGAUGAAGAACGCAGCGAAAUGCGAUACGUAAUGUGAAUUGCAGAAUUCAGUGAAUCAUCGAAUCUUUGAACGCACCUUGCGCCCCUUGGCAUUCCGAGGGGCACACCCGUUUGAGUGUCGUGAAAUCCUCAAAAACCCUUUUCCUGUCAGGAAUGGGAUUUUUGGACUUGGAGGUUCAAUGCUUGCCUUUCACUUUUGAAAGUGAGCUCCUCUCAAAUGAAUUAGUGGGGUCCGCUUUGCUGAUCCUUAACGUGAUAAGAUGCUUCUACGUUUUGGAUCUAGCACUGUCCCUUGGAUGCCUGCUCCUAACUGUCCCACACGGACAAUGAUGGUGCUCUGGUCACCGCCAUCUACAUUGGCGGGAGGCUGGACCCACAAAACGAAAACCUUGACCUCAAAUCGGGUGAGACUACCCGCUGAACUUAAGCAUA